UACGUAGGGGGCAAGCGUUGUCCGGAAUCAUUGGGCGUAAAGCGCGCGUAGGCGGCCCGGUAAGUCCGCUCUGAAAGUCCAGGGCUCAACCCUGGAAAGCGGGUGGAUACUGCCGGGCUAGAAUCCGGAAGAGGCGAGUGGAAUUCCCGGUGUAGCGGUGAAAUGCGCAGAUAUCGGGAGGAACACCUAUGGCGAAGGCAGCUCGCUGGGACGUUACUGACGCUGAGACGCGAAAGCGUGGGGAGCAAACAGG
This 253-nucleotide ribosomal RNA is filed under the name uncultured bacterium. RNAcentral's name for it is "partial 16S ribosomal RNA". It matches the Rfam family "Bacterial small subunit ribosomal RNA", at positions 524 to 776 of the family's 1533-position model. The record is from RNAcentral.